This 109-nucleotide small RNA is filed under the name Marinomonas spartinae. RNAcentral describes it as "Guanidine-I sequence". It matches the Rfam family "Guanidine-I riboswitch aptamer". Rfam says of the family: This family represents a conserved RNA structure found upstream of the ykkC and yxkD genes in Bacillus subtilis and related genes in other bacteria. Lineage: Bacteria; Pseudomonadati; Pseudomonadota; Gammaproteobacteria; Oceanospirillales; Oceanospirillaceae. The record is from Rfam by way of RNAcentral.
GUAAUAGAAGGCUAGGGUUCCGGCUAUAUAGAAAAAUAUAGUGACUGGUCCGAGAGCAUUCGACCUUGUCAGUUUCAAGGUUACACGGCGGGACAAAAGCCCGGGAGAC